GAUGAUCAGAAGUACAGUCACAAUCUUCAGAGAUGCAACAGCAGCGCAACACAUCACAACUUUAUGAAUGAAGGAGAGACUCACAUGUGAUACAUUCAACACUGAACACAACACAGAACAAUUUGAUGAUGAACAUUGUGUAGACCCUCUGGAGAUGACAGGAACAGGCAGAAUGCAAGGUGAAGGAUUGGGACUGGAAAAACACAACUUAAGGACUGUAGGAGAUGGUAAACUUUAUCCUG
Triplophysa dalaica is the source of this 242-nucleotide long non-coding RNA. RefSeq lists it as uncharacterized. NCBI's taxonomy places the organism in Eukaryota, Metazoa, Chordata, Actinopteri, Cypriniformes, Nemacheilidae. The transcript is spliced from 3 exons. The record is from RefSeq and is a predicted model, not a curated record.